RNAcentral lists this ribosomal RNA (515 nucleotides) under uncultured bacterium. RNAcentral describes it as "partial 16S ribosomal RNA". It matches the Rfam family "Bacterial small subunit ribosomal RNA", at positions 28 to 523 of the family's 1533-position model. The record is from RNAcentral.
GAUGAACGCUGGCGGCGUGCCUAAUACAUGCAAGUCGAGCGAAUGGAUUGAGAGCUUGCUCUUAUGAAGUUAGCGGCGGACGGGUGAGUAACACGUGGGUAACCUGCCCAUAAGACUGGGAUAACUCCGGGAAACCGGGGCUAAUACCGGAUAACAUUUUGAACAGCAUGGUUCGAAAUUGAAAGGCGGCUUCGGCUGUCACUAAUGGAUGGACCAGCGUCGCAUUAGCUAGUUGGUGAGGUAACGGCUCACCAAGGCAACGAUGCGUAGCCGACCUGAGAGGGUGAUCGGCCACACUGGGACUGAGACACGGCCCAGACUCCUACGGGAGGCAGCAGUAGGGAAUCUUCCGCAAUGGACGAAAGUCUGACGGAGCAACGCCGCGUGAGUGAUGAAGGCUUUCGGGUCGUAAAACUCUGUUGUUAGGGAAGAACAAGUGCUAGUUGAAUAAGCUGGCACCUUGACGGUACCUAACCAGAAAGCCACGGCUAACUACGUGCCAGCCGCCGCAGUAA